Molecule: ribosomal RNA, 2605 nt
Filed under: human gut metagenome
Description: bacterial LSU rRNA
Rfam family: Bacterial large subunit ribosomal RNA
Source: RNAcentral
AGGGCGUACGGCGAAUGCCUUGCCACUCGAAACUGAAGAAGGACGCGCCAAACUGCGAAAAGCUCCGUGAAGCUGUAAGGAAGCGAAGAAGCGGAGGUGUCCGAAUGGGGGAACCCGGCAGCAGACAUGAGCUGUCAUCUGCAGGUGAAUACAUGGCCUGCAAGAGAGGUACCCGGCGAACUGAAACAUCUAAGUAGCCGGAGGAAAAGAAAACAACAGUGAUUCCCUGAGUAGCGGCGAGCGAAAGGGGAGAAGCCCAAACCGGUUGAAGGACCGGGGUUGAAGGACCAUGACAUGGCAAGAACGAGGAUAGGAGAACGGGAUCGAAAGCCCGGCCGAAGAAGGUGAAAGCCCUGUAACCGAAAUCCGAGCAAAGCCUAAUGGGAUCCUGAGUACGGCGAGACACGAGAAAUCUUGUCGGAAGCAGGCGGGACCAUCCGCCAAGGCUAAAUAUAAACGAGUGAGCGAUAGUGAACCAGUACCGUGAGGGAAAGGUGAAAAGAACCGCGGGAGCGGAGUGAAAGAGAACCUGAAACCGUAUGCCUACAAGAAGUCAGAGCCCGUUAAGGGGUGAUGGCGUGCCUUUUGUAGAAUGAACCGGCGAGUUGCGACAGACUGCGAGGUUAAGGAGGAAAGACCGGAGCCGAAGCGAAAGCGAGUCUUAAGAGGGCGAAAGUAGGAUGUUGCAGACCCGAAACCGGGUGAUCUAGCCAUGAGCAGGUUGAAGUUGAGGUGAAACUCAAUGGAGGACCGAACCGACUACCGUUGAAAAGUUAGCGGAUGACUUGUGGCUAGGGGAGAAAUUCCAAUCGAACCCGGAGAUAGCUGGUUCUCCCCGAAAUAGCUUUAGGGCUAGCGUCGGAAAGAACCUUAGUGAAGGUAGAGCACUGAAUGUGUGAUGGCCCCAUCCCGGGGUACUGAAUACAAUCAAACUGCGAAUGUCAUUAAGGAUGUCCGGCAGUCAGACUGUGAGUGAUAAGGUCCAUGGUCAAGAGGGAAACAGCCCAGACCGCCAGUUAAGGUCCCAAAAUACAGGCUAAGUGGAAAAGGAUGUGGGGAUGCCCAGACAACUAGGAGGUUGGCUCAGAAGCAGCCAUCCUUUAAAGAGUGCGUAACAGCUCACUAGUCGAGUGACCCUGCGCCGAAAAUGUACCGGGGCUAAGCCUGAUACCGAAACUGCGGAUUGUAGGAAACUAUAGUGGUAGGGGAGCGUUGUAUACGAGCAGAAGCCGUACCGUGAGGAGCGGUGGAUUGUAUAGAAGUGAGAAUGCCGGUGUGAGUAGCGAGAUGUAGGUGAGAAUCCUACACACCGAAAGCCCAAGGAUUCCAGGGGAAGGUUCGUCCGCCCUGGGUAAGUCGGGACCUAACGCGAGGCCGAAAGGCGUAGUGGAUGGAAAGCAGGUGAAAGAUUCCUGCACCCGUAUAUGGAGCGAAGGAGUGACGGAGACGGAUAGUGUGACCCUCUUAAUGGAUUGAGGGCGAAGCGAAGCGGCUGGUUACCAGGCAAAUCCGGUAACCUUAAGGCUAGAGCGUGACAGGUAAGCGAAAUCUACGGAAAGUAGCGAAGCACAUGAUGACGGCUUCCAGGAAAAGCUUCUGGCAAUGCAUAUGCGGCCCGUACCAAAACCGACACAGGUGGGCAGGGAGAGAAUCCCGAGGUGAGCGAGAGAACUGUUGCCAAGGAACUCGGCAAAAUGACUCCGUAAGUUAGCGAGAAGGAGUGCUUAAGCAAUUAAGCCGCAGUGAAGAGGCCCAAGCGACUGUUUAACUAAAACACAGCUCUCUGCGAAGUCGCAAGACGAAGUAUAGGGGGUGACACCUGCCCGGUGCUGGAAGGUUAAGAGGAUCUGUUAAGAGCGAUCUGAAGCAGUGAUCCGAAGCCCCAGUGAACGGCGGCCGUAACUAUAACGGUCCUAAGGUAGCGAAAUUCCUUGUCAGGUAAGUUCUGACCCGCACGAAAGGCGUAACGAUUUGGGCGCUGUCUCAGCUGUAGACUCGGUGAAGUCUUAGUACCUGUGAAGAUGCAGGUUACCCGCGACUAGACGGAAAGACCCCAUGGAGCUUCACUGCAGGUUGAUAUUGGGAUUUGAUGCAGCAUGUACAGGAUAGGUAGGAGGCAAAGAGAUGGAUACGCCAGUAUUCAAGGAGCCGCUGUUGGGAUACUACCCCUGUUGUAUUGGAUUUCUAACCGGACGACGUAGAGCCGUUGACGGGACAGUGUCAGUCGGGCAGUUUGACUGGGGCGGUCGCCUCCCAAAGAGUAACGGAGGCGCCCAAAGAUACCCUCAGCUUGGAUGGAAACCAAGCGCAGAGUGCAAAGGCAAAAGGGUGUUUGACUGCGAGACCCACAAGUCGAGCAGGGACGAAAGUCGGGCUUAGUGAUCCGGCGGUGCUGAAUGGAAAGGCCGUCGCUCAACGGAUAAAAGCUACCCUGGGGAUAACAGGCUGAUCUCCCCCAAGAGUUCACAUCGACGGGGAGGUUUGGCACCUCGAUGUCGGCUCAUCGCAUCCUGGAGCUGAAGUCGGUUCCAAGGGUUGGGCUGUUCGCCCAUUAAAGCGGUACGCGAGCUGGGUUCAGAACGUCGUGAGACAGUUCGGUCCCUAU